Choloepus didactylus (southern two-toed sloth) is the source of this 104-nucleotide small nuclear RNA. NCBI's taxonomy places the organism in Eukaryota, Metazoa, Chordata, Mammalia, Pilosa, Megalonychidae. The record is from RefSeq and is a predicted model, not a curated record.
GUGCUCACUUCAGCAGCACAUAUACUAAAAUUGGAACAAUACAGAGAUUAGCAUGGCCCUUGCACAAGAAUGACAUGCAAAUUUGUGAGGCGUUCCAUAUAUUC